RNAcentral lists this ribosomal RNA (253 nucleotides) under uncultured bacterium. RNAcentral describes it as "partial 16S ribosomal RNA". It matches the Rfam family "Bacterial small subunit ribosomal RNA", at positions 524 to 776 of the family's 1533-position model. The record is from RNAcentral.
UACGUAGGGCGCAGGCGUUGUCCGGAAUUAUUGGGCGUAAAGAGCUCGUAGGCGGUUUGUCGCGUCUGCCGUGAAAGUCCGGGGCUUAACUCCGGAUGUGCGGUGGGUACGAGCAGGCUAGGGUGCAGUAGGGGAGACUGGAAUUCCUGGUGUAGCGGUGAAAUGCGCAGAUAUCAGGAAGAACACCGAUGGCGAAGGCAGGUCUCUGGGCUGUAACUGACGCUGAGGAGCGAAAGCAUGGGGAGCGAACAGG